GUGCUCUGCCCAGGGCCGGGGCCAGCGUGCAGGAGAAGAAACGCAGGCAGGCACAGGCUUCUGUGCACGGCUGGUUUGCUGUGGGCCGAUAACCUCUGCCGGGCCGGCACAGCUCUUGAAACUUCGGAGGGGGCACGGUGGAGGAUGAAGAAACACGGGAGCUAAGCUGCACAAAGCUGAGGGUCAGGUGGAGCCGCCUCUCCUGGUGGGUAAGAGCUGUGCAAGGACCGUGGCACGUUUAUUUACACACUCAGAACAUUAUUGUCGGUUGAAACCCCUCGGCCUAGCCACUGCUUUGCUUGGCUCGCUGUGGUGUUCUCAGGGCUGGCUUUGUUUUAGCCCCGCACAUGUGUUCCAUCUCUAACUUCUGCCGCUCCCCACAUCUCUUUUAUCCCAGGACACACUGCUGGGAUGUGCUGCCUUAACAGUUGCUAAAAGAAGCCCUGCUCAGGGCUAAAAUUUGAACCAGCUAGGUAUUUGUUCGCCUAGACAGCUGAUAACUAAGAAACUAUGAAAAUAAAGUAGGACACCGGUCACCAUGUUCCAAUACAAAUCGGAACCACAAUUUGACAAAAUUGGAACUACAAAAUACUGACAAGGAGGAUGAGGACAGUGCAGCAUAUUCAACCCAAUUUGUAUUUUGUACACAGUUGUAUUUUGAUGUAAUUCUUGCAACACACAAUUCAUACAUUUAGAGUGUACAGUUGAAUGAUUUUUAACCGUUCACAGAUAUGUGUAACCACCAGUACAGUUCAUUUUAGACAAGUUCCUUAGCUUGAAAGUAUCCCUACAUGCUGUAUCCAUCACCCCUUCUCUAUUUCUUCAUCAAUAAGCACUUUCAGGCCUAAAUAACUAGUAAACUAAUUGUUAUCUUUAGAGAUGUCCCUGCUCUGAUCAUUUCAUAUAAAUGAAUAAAAUGCUGCAUGGUC
Chinchilla lanigera (long-tailed chinchilla) is the source of this 929-nucleotide long non-coding RNA. RefSeq lists it as uncharacterized. The transcript has 2 exons. The record is from RefSeq and is a predicted model, not a curated record. Lineage: Eukaryota; Metazoa; Chordata; Mammalia; Rodentia; Chinchillidae.